AGCGAACGCUGGCGGCAUGCCUAACACAUGCAAGUCGAACGAGACCUUCGGGUCUAGUGGCGCACGGGUGCGUAACGCGUGGGAACCUGCCCUUAGGUUCGGAAUAACUCCCCGAAAGGGGUGCUAAUACCGGAUAAUGUCUUCGGACCAAAGAUUUAUCGCCUUUGGAUGGGCCCGCGUUGGAUUAGCUAGUUGGUAGGGUAAAAGCCUACCAAGGCGACGAUCCAUAGCUGGUCUGAGAGGAUGAUCAGCCGCACUGGGACUGAGACACGGCCCAGACUCCUACGGGAGGCAGCAGUGGGGAAUAUUGGACAAUGGGCGAAAGCCUGAUCCAGCAAUGCCGCGUGAGUGAUGAAGGCCUUAGGGUUGUAAAGCUCUUUUACCCGGGAUGAUAAUGACAGUACCGGGAGAAUAAGCUCCGGCUAACUCCGUG
Molecule: ribosomal RNA, 433 nt
Filed under: uncultured bacterium
Lineage: Bacteria
Description: partial 16S ribosomal RNA
Rfam family: Bacterial small subunit ribosomal RNA
Source: RNAcentral